Molecule: long non-coding RNA, 100 nt
Organism: Neomonachus schauinslandi (Hawaiian monk seal)
Lineage: Eukaryota; Metazoa; Chordata; Mammalia; Carnivora; Phocidae
Exons: 3
Source: RefSeq, a predicted model, not a curated record
AAAGUCUUCAUGGAAAAGAUGCUCUAGUUUGAGGACCCAGGACAGAGAAUGGUGACAUGGAAUCUUCUUUCCUUAAGGCUCUCCUCCUACGGGGCAUAUU